UGGGUGUUACUUCCUAAGGGGGCUCCCUCGCAGAGGGCUCGCCCACCUGGCAUCUGCCUUAUUUGUGAAAACGCGGACCGGGUCUGCGCUAGGCCUAUCCGGCGUCGCAGGACGGGUCGCUGCUCAGGCACCUGCACAGCAGGUCGGCAGCGACGCCUAGCGCCACGGUGCUGUCCUUCCUCACGGUGAGGAGUCGCUGGCUGUGUUGUAGGCUAUGCCAUCGGCACAGGCUCGUCUGGGUCGUUGCGCGAAUCUCGGAGGCGUAUCCGGGGAGAUCCGAGUCCUCGGACGAAGACGAAGAGGAGGUCUCCAGGGCGACGAGCCUGGCCUCCAUUUCCUUGAUUUCCUCGGUCCUGUCCUUCGACCAUCGAACCCAGAUGGCGUCAGGAACAGUCCCGAGGUCCAGUAUGAGGUGUCUCGACCGUCAAGACCGGCUUGCUGGGCCUCUGCUCUUUCGGCGUUGAAAAAUGGACAUGAGUCCAAACGGUGGGUGGGGUUGUCCUCAACCCCACAGUCUGGGCAGAGUCCGGCGUGUGCUUUGCCGAUCCUGACAAGUUGGCAGCCGAAGCCGCCGUGGCCAGUGAAGAAUUGCGUCCUGGCGGGGGACAUUGGGAUCUUGAGGCGGAUCCUCUCUUCAAGGUUGGGGCAGAAUUCGAAGGUGGUCCGACCCCGGGAUUCCGCUUCCCAGACCCUCUGCCAGGCUUCUAGGGUGACGUCUUCAGCUCUCGCUUUCCAUUCGGCCUUGCUGGAGCUGGGGGGUAGGGCGAUGUGGGUACCGAACAGAUCGGCUUCCCCUUUCCUUUCGGGUCCUAAAUUCAUCUCGGAUCUCAAGUGAGCCGAAGGAGAUGAGCUUUGACGGGGAUCAAAUUUCGCAUCGUGAAAGAACCAAGACUUUUGUUAACACAUUUUAAUGCCAAAUUUGGCUGGCUAAGCUAUGAAAGACGUGGUAAAGGAUACAUCCAACGAGCCAAAAGCCAAAAAAUUAAGCAAUAAGUCAGCGUCGCUGAACUGAACGUCUUCUGUAUAGGAGUGUUUUACCUCGCCGAAUUACUAUUUUAUUUUUUGGCUUUUAGCUCGUUCGAUAUAUCAUUUACUAUGAUCUGCGUUAACUUUGGGGCUUCCGUAUAUACUCCUCCUCGGAGCACUGCAGUGAUUCCUCCUCCUUGAGGAAAGCACUGAGUUUGUCGUUUGGCGCCACCUAUUUGUAAGUGUUGGGGGGGGGGGGGGCGUUGAAAUGAGGGAGGACGCCGAUUCCAAUUCGUGGGAUCGCUGAAUUCGCAAUUCCACUCCUCGUUACCCGGUACGGCCGCAUCUACCGCUGGGACCUUGAAUGGUGCUAAAUUGAGCAGACGCGCGUCUUCGUUUGGAACUUACCCCUCACGCGCCCGGAGGAAUCGGACAGACCAGGAUAUUGAGCCGUCCGCCCACCCCCCCC
Molecule: long non-coding RNA, 1435 nt
Filed under: Bemisia tabaci
Lineage: Eukaryota; Metazoa; Arthropoda; Insecta; Hemiptera; Aleyrodidae
Description: lncRNA ENSSSA1NGG003720
Source: RNAcentral